UUUUAGCCCUGAUUGCAGUGAAAAUCCUUUUUAUUUUUUUUGAAAAAUAAAAAGAUUGCAACGUAAAGCAGGUUCCUGG
This 79-nucleotide small RNA is filed under the name Flavobacterium xueshanense. Its description in RNAcentral is "Flavo-1 RNA". It matches the Rfam family "Flavo-1 RNA". The record is from RNAcentral. Lineage: Bacteria; Pseudomonadati; Bacteroidota; Flavobacteriia; Flavobacteriales; Flavobacteriaceae.